GACGAACGCUGGCGGCGUGCUUAACACAUGCAAGUCGAACGCUGAAGCCCAGCUUGCUGGGUGGAUGAGUGGCGAACGGGUGAGUAACACGUGAGUAACCUGCCCUCUUCUUUGGGAUAACGCCCGGAAACGGGUGCUAAUACUGGAUAUUCACUGGCCUUCGCAUGGGGGUUGGUGGAAAGGUUUUUUCUGGUGGGGGAUGGGCUCGCGGCCUAUCAGCUUGUUGGUGGGGUGAUGGCCUACCAAGGCUUUGACGGGUAGCCGGCCUGAGAGGGUGACCGGUCACAUUGGGACUGAGAUACGGCCCAGACUCCUACGGGAGGCAGCAGUGGGGAAUAUUGCACAAUGGGCGAAAGCCUGAUGCAGCGACGCCGCGUGAGGGACGGAGGCCUUCGGGUUGUGAACCUCUUUCGCUCAUGGUCAAGCCGCAACUUAGGGUUGUGGUGAGGGUAGUGGGUAAAGAAGCGCCGGCUAACUACGUGCCAGCAGCCGCGGUAAUACGUAGGGCGCGAGCGUUGUCCGGAAUUAUUGGGCGUAAAGGGCUUGUAGGCGGUUGGUCGCGUCUGCCGUGAAAUCCUCUGGCUUAACUGGGGGGCGUGCGGUGGGUACGGGCUGACUUGAGUGCGGUAGGGGAGACUGGAACUCCUGGUGUAGCGGGUGGAAUGCGCAGAUAUCAGGAAGAACACCGGUGGCGAAGGCGGGUCUCUGGGCCGUUUACUGACGCUGAGGAGCGAAAGCGUGGGGGAGCGAACAGG
Molecule: ribosomal RNA, 755 nt
Filed under: uncultured Actinomyces sp.
Lineage: Bacteria; Bacillati; Actinomycetota; Actinomycetes; Actinomycetales; Actinomycetaceae
Description: bacterial SSU rRNA
Rfam family: Bacterial small subunit ribosomal RNA
Source: RNAcentral